GUGGGGAAUCUUGCGCAAUGGGCGAAAGCCUGACGCAGCCAUGCCGCGUGAAUGAUGAAGGUCUUAGGAUUGUAAAAUUCUUUCACCGGGGACGAUAAUGACGGUACCCGGAGAAGAAGCUCCGGCUAACUUCGUGCCAGCAGCCGCGGUAAUACGAAGGGGGCUAGCGUUGCUCGGAAUUACUGGGCGUAAAGGGCGCGUAGGCGGACAGCUUAGUCAGAGGUGAAAGCCCAGGGCUCAACCUUGGAAUUGGCUUUGGUACUGGCUGUCUUGAGUUUGGGAGAGGUGAGUGGAACUCCGAGUGUAGAGGUGAAAUUCGUAGAUAUUCGGAAGAACACCAGUGGCGAAGGCGACUCACUGGCCCAAUACUGACGCUGAGGCGCGAAAGCGUGGGGAGCAAACAGGAUUAGAUACCCUUGUAGUCC
This 425-nucleotide ribosomal RNA is filed under the name uncultured bacterium. RNAcentral describes it as "partial 16S ribosomal RNA". It matches the Rfam family "Bacterial small subunit ribosomal RNA", at positions 354 to 796 of the family's 1533-position model. The record is from RNAcentral.